Molecule: ribosomal RNA, 468 nt
Filed under: uncultured bacterium
Lineage: Bacteria
Description: partial 16S ribosomal RNA
Rfam family: Bacterial small subunit ribosomal RNA
Source: RNAcentral
GACGAACGCUGGCGGCGUGCUUAACACAUGCAAAUCGAACGGAAAGGCCCUGCUUUUGUGGGGUGCUCGAGUGGCGAACGGGUGAGUAACACGUGUGUAACCUGCCCUUUACUUUGGGAUAACUUCAGGAAACUGGGGCUAAUACCGGAUAGGAGCUCCUGCUGCAUGGUGGGGGUUGGAAAGUUUCGGCGGUUGGGGAUGGACUCGCGGCUUAUCAGCGUGUUGGUGGGGUAGUGGCUUACCAAGGCUUUGACGGGUAGCCGGCCUGAGAGGGUGACCGGCCACAUUGGGACUGAGAUACGGCCCAGAGUCCUACGGGAGGCAGCAGUGGGGAAUAGUGCACAAUGGGCGGAAGCCUGAUGCAGCAACGCCGCGUGCGGGAUGACGGCCUUCGGGUUGUAAACCGCUUUCGCCUGUGACGAAGCGUGAGUGACGGUAAUGGGUAAAGAAGCACCGGCUAACUACGUG